CACAUCCCUAUCUCUUCCUCUAUAAACUCCCCCAGAUCGCAGUGCUCGCCACCAGCUACCUGAGAUGGACGGGCGGCGACGGCAAGAGGCGGCCAGAGGGAGCCGCGACGAGCUCCCUAAACUCGGUGGAGCGACGAGCUGCGGCGGGCCUCGCCUCAGCCAUCGAGGGAAAGGGAGGUUCGCCGUAGGCGGUUCGCUGCGGCGGAAGGUGAGGGAGCUGCGUCGGCUUGUGCCCGGCGGGAGGCAGCUGCCCGCCGAGCAGCUUCUCCUGCACACGGCCGACUACAUCCUCCGGCUGAGGUUGCAGGUGCAGCUCUUGAGGGCUCUUUCCAAGUUGUACACGCCAUGAUAUAUCCAUCCAUCUACAUAUAUAUAUAACUAUAACUAUAUAUAUUAGUUGGUGUAUUAUUACAUCGUUGGCGUAUGUUUUUGGUGUGAAUCAAUCAACUCUCGCGAUAUCUGGGUUGACUAAAUUGUGGAUGGCUUCUAAGAGUACUUGUAUUGAUUAAUAGGAAAUAGAAAAUAUAAGAACAUUUGUUCUUCUUUUUCUUCCCUCAAUCAACCAUAAUCACUUUUGUAUAAUUAGACGCCGAUCGAUGAAAAAAAAAGAAGCUUUUUUCAUAUAUUUUUGUUCAAUUCAUGUAUUGAAUCCUAAUAAUAUUCAGAGAUUUAUUAAUACUUUCACUUUAUCAUUCCACUAUUAGAGCCCAUUUGUGGGAUUGACCCAGAUCGGUCAGACUUGAUGUAGGCCUUCGGAUCGUGUAAACUUACGGCCCAGAUCUUGAGUCAGUCAUCUAGCAGCAAGUAGAUUCAACCCC
Molecule: long non-coding RNA, 818 nt
Filed under: Musa acuminata (dwarf banana)
Lineage: Eukaryota; Viridiplantae; Streptophyta; Magnoliopsida; Zingiberales; Musaceae
Description: long non-coding RNA (MACU_LNC004767)
Source: RNAcentral